This is a long non-coding RNA of Homo sapiens (human), 1620 nucleotides long. Ensembl annotates it as PCBP1 antisense RNA 1. Its record names the gene PCBP1-AS1. Lineage: Eukaryota; Metazoa; Chordata; Mammalia; Primates; Hominidae. The record is from Ensembl.
GCCGGUUCUUCCCGCUGAGGAAGUGUCGCUCAAGACGCUGGCCUAUGAGUUGUGAUUUCUGCCUUUUCCCCUUCCUCCUUGGGCUAAGCCAGACCAGAAAGGGCCCCGUGCGCAACGUGCUUCACAAUCUCUCAGGGAAAGCGGCUAACGUGGCGCUACUCCGCCUCCCCUGUUCCUUACCCUUGGGGCGGCCGCCAUGUUUCCUGAACACAAAAUGGCGACACGUGACUUCCUAGCAUGGGCUGUUGUGCUGGAGAGAACGAGAGCUACGAAGAGACUACAGUGCCUCUGACUUUUUCAUAGGACAGUUGGCCGAGGAAGACAAACAUAAAGAUGAAGUGCUUAAUUCAAGGUCACACAAUGUCGGGGAUGGACCUCCAGAUUUCCUUACUGACCUGCAUUAUCUUGUGGAUACCUGAGUGAAUUCCACACCACCCAUUUUAUAGAUGAAACCACUGAGACAUGGAGCAAUUGACUGAGUAGUCACUGCCCCACCCCUGCCUGGAGCCUCACACAUGACUCGCCUCCUCUCAGUGACCACAGGAAAACAAGCUCAGGGCUCCCACUGAUUGUACAUUAUGGUCACAGAAUUUUCCACACUCCUUGACAGAGGUGCUUAACCCUUAUCCAUCAGCAUUCUCAGACAGCACCUCCGGUUAGGGACAGUAUCUGACCGUCCGACAUCCCUGCAGCCCCCAUGUGUCACACAGACUCAGCCUCAGGUAGAUGGUUUCCGUAGAUGGUGGCUUUCUUUGGACCCUUGACAUCAACCAGUUACUAUUUGGGCCACACAUAACAAAUAGAAGCAGAGCAAGCCCUGGAACUCCUGCCUGACAGUGACACGACGACAGAAACAUCUUACCAGUCAGAGGACCAUGAGAAAUAGAUUCAAGGAGCAUUCCACGUGCAAGUGAGUCUUGGCCCCAUCUGCCUUUGGAUUUUAGCCGUGAACUGGAAGGUAUUGGAAAGAAGACCCUCAGAAAUAGCUUAAUCAAAAUCCCUGCGUCUGAACCAAGUGCCUUAUUUCUCUGUGGGCCUCAAGCUUCGCUGACAUCUGUGGAGCACACUGUCCUAACAGGAGUGCUGUCUGAUUUCCCAACGCUCUGCAAAACAAACAGCCUGGAAGGGUGGCUGGUGGAAGGUGGUUUUUAGAGAGAGACUUGUAGAUAACAGGAAAGUGAAGGCUGUAAGGAAGGUUGUAAUUAAACAGCACAUGGAAACACAAUCACAUUAUUGUCCCAUUCCAUAGGGAUAAUGAUGACCACUUCAGUGGGAAAAGGAGAGGUUUUAAGUCAUUAGGGACUAUGGGCCACCUUUUAGGAAGAUUUAUUUUCAAAGGUUAAAAUAGUGUUUUGGCAAUUCAAGUUUCAUUUUCAGAAAAUGUAAUUGAUGGGAACCUCAGUGACUCUGGAUGAAUAAGAUGCUGUUGAGUGGCUCUGACUUGGGCCAGCCGUGCUUCUCACAGGACCUUGGAGACCAAGGUCACUGUGAUCUCAGGUUCAGGGGGCAAGUCCUCUCCACACAGCCCUAGUUGGCCUCACAGCUGAAAAUGUCUCCCUUACUGUUGGACUCCUUUGUUCACCCACAUGAGUUUGUGAAUAAAUCCUUUCCAGUCUGAAA